GGGGAGAGGCCGAAGAAGAGACUGAAGAAGGUGGACGUGUGCUGGACUGCUCGUAAGACCACCGGGGUGGUCCCAGGUGCGACGGCCGGAUGGGUCGAUUGGUUCGUUGAUUGAGCUCCAACGAGUGCACUAAACAGACUGAACUUUGAUAAGUGGCGCCUUUUGUUUUUUUCCUUGUGUAUAUAUAUUGUAUUGCUUACUACUCUUUUUAAUUUUAGUAAACUCUUUAAAGUGUA
Molecule: long non-coding RNA, 236 nt
Organism: Hypanus sabinus (Atlantic stingray)
Lineage: Eukaryota; Metazoa; Chordata; Chondrichthyes; Myliobatiformes; Dasyatidae
Exons: 2
Source: RefSeq, a predicted model, not a curated record